GCAGUGGUGGUUCAGUGGUAGAAUUCUCACCUUCCAUGAGGGAGACCCAGGCUUGAUUCUCGGCCAGUGUA
Molecule: transfer RNA, 71 nt
Organism: Loxodonta africana (African savanna elephant)
Lineage: Eukaryota; Metazoa; Chordata; Mammalia; Proboscidea; Elephantidae
Rfam family: tRNA
About the family: Transfer RNA (tRNA) molecules are approximately 80 nucleotides in length. Their secondary structure includes four short double-helical elements and three loops (D, anti-codon, and T loops).
Source: Rfam